RNAcentral lists this ribosomal RNA (745 nucleotides) under Vibrio sp. RNAcentral's name for it is "bacterial SSU rRNA". It matches the Rfam family "Bacterial small subunit ribosomal RNA", at positions 624 to 1371 of the family's 1533-position model. Lineage: Bacteria; Pseudomonadati; Pseudomonadota; Gammaproteobacteria; Vibrionales; Vibrionaceae. The record is from RNAcentral.
CAUUUUAAACUUGCAGAGUAGAAUUGUGAGAGAGGGGUAGAAAUUCAGGUAAGGGGAAAAGGUAUAGAUCUGAAAGAAAUCCGGAGGGAAGGCCACCCCCUGGGCAUCAACUGACACUCAGAUGUGCGAAGCGUGGGGAGAGAAACACAGAUUUCAGAUCCCGGUAUAGCCCACCCUAAAAGAAAUGUACAUUGAGAGUGUGGCCUUGAGCCGUGGUUUUCCAAGGCAAAGCGUUAAGUAGACCGCCUGGGGAAGUCGGUCGCCAGGUUAAAAAUCAAAUGAAAUGGCGGGGGCCCGCCACAGCCGUGGAGCCAUGUGUUUAAUUUGAUGCAAAGGGAAGAACCUUACCUACUAUUGACAUUCCAAGAACUUUUCAAAGAAUGAAUGGGGCCUUUGGGAAAUUUGAAACCAGUGGUGCCAGGGCGUUGUUCAGUUGUGGUGUUAAAAGGUGGGUUAAGUUCCGCCAAGAGGGCCACCCCUAUCCUUGUUUUGCCAGGAAUUAUGUCGGGAACUCCAAGGAGACUGCCGGUGAUAAACCGGAGGAAGGUGGGGACGACGUCAAGUCAUCAUGGCCCUUACGAGUAGGGCUACACACGUGCUACAAUGGCGCAUACAGAGGGCUGCCAACUUGCGAAAGUGAGCGAAUCACAAAAAGUGCGUCGUAGUCCGGAUUGGAGUCUGCAACUCGACUCCAUGAAGUCGGAAUCGCUAGUAAUCGUGAAUCAGAAUGCCACGGUGAAUACGU